This 833-nucleotide long non-coding RNA is filed under the name Homo sapiens (human). RNAcentral describes it as "HSALNT0105762". The record is from RNAcentral. Lineage: Eukaryota; Metazoa; Chordata; Mammalia; Primates; Hominidae.
GUAGCCAGAGAAAAGGCAAGCAGAAGCUCUCGGGUGUGUGGCAUAUGUAGUUUCUGUGUUUAGUCAACUGAAGUCCAGGAUUACAAAAAUGUGAGGAGGUGGCAAGUAUACAUUUUGGCUCCACUGUGUAGGCUGGCUCAUUGAGAAAGGGGGAUAUUUAAGGAGGGAUUUUCUUUCUCAUGAAAUCUUAUAUUUGAUAUAGUAUAAUUAUUUAUUUAUUUAUUUAAAGCCCACAUACCAUGAGAAAUAUAGUAUAAUCUAGGUAUGUUAUCUGAAAGUGGAAAAAUAUCAAUGGAGAAUAUGCCUGGAGGAUAUAACUGUGGAAAGCUGGAUGGGGCAAAACUUUCCAAAACUUGGAGACAAUACAAAACUACCAAUCUUUUUUUUUUUUUUUUUUUAAGACAGGGUCUCAAUCUGUUGCCCAGGCUGGAGUUCAGUGGCGUAAUCUUGGCUUACUGCAACCUCUGCUCACUGCAACCUCCACCUCCCGGGCUCAAGUGAUCCUCCCACCUCAGCCUCCCAAGUAGCUGAGACUACAGGCACUCGCCACCAGGCCUGGCUAAUUUUUUGUAUUUUUUUGUAGAGAAGGUGAUUUGCCAUGUUGCCCAGAUAGGUCUCAAACUCCUGGGCUCAAGCGACCUGCCUGCCUCAGCCUCCCACAGUGCUGGGCUUACAGGCGUGAGCUACCACACCUGGCUAAAACAACCAACUUUUAACAGCUAACUAAGACCAUCUUUUCACUUCUUAGAAAGAUUAAGUUUUUAACUUCAAGUUUUAGGUGAUAACAUAAAAGCUAACACCACAUUACCAAAUACAUGGCUGCAGCUGCAAUA